CGAGAAAGCCCGCAAGGGUGAGUACAGCGGCGCACGGGUGCGUAACACGUGGGUAAUCUACCCUGAAGCUCGGAAUAACUCCCCGAAAGGGGUGCUAAUGCCGGAUAAGCCCACGGAAGCCUUGGCUUCUGAGGGAAAAGGUGGCCUCUGCAUGCAAGCUAUCACUUCAGGAUGAGCCCGCGGCCCAUCAGCUAGUUGGCGGGGUAAUGGCCCACCAAGGCUACGACGGGUAGCUGGUCUGAGAGGACGAUCAGCCACACUGGAACUGAGACACGGUCCAGACUCCUACGGGAGGCAGCAGUGGGGAAUCUUGCGCAAUGGGCGAAAGCCUGACGCAGCAACGCCGCGUGUGUGAUGAAGGUCUUCGGAUCGUAAAGCACUGUCGCGAGGGACG
RNAcentral lists this ribosomal RNA (394 nucleotides) under uncultured Anaeromyxobacter sp. Its description in RNAcentral is "bacterial SSU rRNA". It matches the Rfam family "Bacterial small subunit ribosomal RNA", at positions 67 to 447 of the family's 1533-position model. The record is from RNAcentral. Lineage: Bacteria; Pseudomonadati; Myxococcota; Myxococcia; Myxococcales; Anaeromyxobacteraceae.